This 478-nucleotide ribosomal RNA is filed under the name uncultured bacterium. RNAcentral describes it as "partial 16S ribosomal RNA". It matches the Rfam family "Bacterial small subunit ribosomal RNA", at positions 28 to 507 of the family's 1533-position model. The record is from RNAcentral.
GAUGAACGCUGGCGGCGUGCUUAACACAUGCAAGUCGAACGGGAAACCUUUUAAUGAGGCUUCGGCAGAUUUAGCUGGUUUCUAGUGGCGGACGGGUGAGUAACGCGUGGGUAACCUGCCUUAUACAGGGGGAUAACAGUCAGAAAUGACUGCUAAUACCGCAUAAGCGCACAGGACCGCAUGGUCCGGUGUGAAAAACUCCGGUGGUAUAAGAUGGACCCGCGUUGGAUUAGCUUGUUGGUGGGGUAACGGCUCACCAAGGCGACGAUCCAUAGCCGGCCUGAGAGGGUGAACGGCCACAUUGGGACUGAGACACGGCCCAGACUCCUACGGGAGGCAGCAGUGGGGAAUAUUGCACAAUGGGGGAAACCCUGAUGCAGCGACGCCGCGUGAAGGAAGAAGUAUCUCGGUAUGUAAACUUCUAUCAGCAGGGAAGAUAGUGACGGUACCUGACUAAGAAGCCCCGGCUAACUACGUA